Molecule: unclassified non-coding RNA, 378 nt
Filed under: uncultured fungus
Lineage: Eukaryota; Fungi
Description: partial contains small subunit ribosomal RNA, internal transcribed spacer 1, and 5.8S ribosomal RNA
Rfam family: Eukaryotic small subunit ribosomal RNA (bases 1-73)
Source: RNAcentral
UCAAACUUGGUCAUUUAGAGGAAGUAAAAGUCGUAACAAGGUCUCCGUUGGUGAACCAGCGGAGGGAUCAUUACCGAGUUCCACAAAACUCCCAACCCUAUGUGAACCUUACCGUCGUUGCCUCGGCGUCGAGCGGCAGAUGCCUCCGGCCGGUAUGCCUGUGGGAUAGCUACCCUGUAGCUACCCUGCAACUACCCUGUACGAGGCGUGCCUGGGUAAAGCUACCUUGUAGCUUUCCCGGUAGGUGCCCACCUACGCUCCGCCGGUGGAAAUCUUAAGACUCUGUUUUUGUUUAGUGCAUCUCUGAGCUAGUUAACGAAAUACGUUAAAACUUUCAACAACGGAUCUCUUGGUUCUGGCAUCGAUGAAGAACGCAGC